This 74-nucleotide transfer RNA is filed under the name Clostridioides difficile. Its description in RNAcentral is "tRNA-Met". It matches the Rfam family "tRNA". Rfam says of the family: Transfer RNA (tRNA) molecules are approximately 80 nucleotides in length. Their secondary structure includes four short double-helical elements and three loops (D, anti-codon, and T loops). The record is from RNAcentral. Lineage: Bacteria; Bacillati; Bacillota; Clostridia; Peptostreptococcales; Peptostreptococcaceae.
GGCGGUAUAGCUUAGUUGGCUAGAGCGUUCGGCUCAUACCCGAAAGGUCAUAGGUUCGACUCCUAUUACCGCUA